UGGACCCCACUGAUGUUCAGCCUGCUGUUAAUGAAAUGCCACAUGGGCAGACAACUAAUUUUAAUGUGAGAGCAACACACUCACCUAACAGUGAUAUAAAUAGGGGUGAUAACACUAAUGGGAAGGGUAAAAAGAGGGUUGCGGUCAGUUCUUCUACUGAAACUUCUUUUGCAAUUGAAGAUUUUAGUGAAGAUGAAGAUGACUUCUAUAACUUUCAUAUAGCAACUAAUUCUGAGGGUAAUGUUGAGGGCGAUGUCCAGGGUGAUGCUGAGGGUGAUGAGUUGAAUAGUGAGAGUGAUAAAGAGUAUGAGGCUAAUUUUGAAGAAGAUGAUGAUGAUGAUACAGAUGAGUCCUUAUAUGGUUCUGAUGAGGAUAUUGCUGGUGAGACUAGUGACCUAGAACCUGAAGUUGUUGCUUCUAGGCAGGCUAAAGUGAAUGCAAAGAGUAGUAAAUUAAGGUAUUCUGAAGUUAAUAAUGAUGAGAUACCUAGUGGACCUGUAGGUAUAGACCCUGGUUUUGAAGAUAUGUACAAAGACAAGGGAUCCAUGAAAGUUAAUAAUGAUGAGAUACCUAGUAAAACUGUAGGUAUAGACCCUGGUUUUGAAGAUAUGUACAAAGACAAUGGAUCCAAAUAUGCUGGAAAGUUGGGAGGGGAUAAGCAAUAUCUGGACAGUUUAGAUCCAGGUAGUGAGGAUACUGAUGAAGAAGAAGAUGGGGUGCAUAACCCUCAACCAAGAAGGUACAUGGGUAGGGUAUAUUUGAUCCUGCUUGUAAGAAAAUUUGUUUUCAGUUUGAAAUGGUGUUUGAAAAUGUGAAACAGUUCAGAACUGCUUUGCAAGAUUAUGUUUUACAGAGAAGAGUUCAAAUUAAGUUGAGGCCUAAUGAGCAACAUAGGGUUAGGGCUAAAUGUGUUAAAUCAACAAAAUGUAGAUGGCAUAUUUUGGGCAGUAUGGAGGGACACAGAGGGAAUUUCAUUGUCAAGAGCUACCAUCAUGUUCAUAAUUGUAUUAGAGCAACCAUAAAAUGAUGGCUAACACAACAUGGGUAGCUAAACAUUACAAGGACAAGAUUAUCAACCAACCUGACAUGAAGCUUAAGAAGUUGCAGGAUUUGAUUAGGAUAAAGUGUGGUGUUUAUGUUGGAAAAUCCAUAUGUGAUAGGGCUAAACACCAUGUCAUGGGUCAGUAUCUUGGUGAUUACAAGAAGGAGUUUGCUAGAAUAUAUGAUUAUGCUGAUGUGUUAAGGUCAACAAAUCCUGGCAGCACUAUUGUUGUGAAGACCUCCAAAGAGACCAUACUUGGUAAGGAGGUGUUUGUGGGUAUCUAUAUUUGUCUGCAUACUUGCAAAGUUGGUUGGUUGGAAGGGUGUAGAAAUGUUAUUGGCUUUGAUGGAGCAUUUCUGAAGGGUGUGUGUAAGGGUGAGUUGUUAUCAUGCAUUGCCAAAGAUGGUAACAACCAAAUGUACCAUGUUGCCUGGGCAGUUGUGGAAAAG
Molecule: long non-coding RNA, 1491 nt
Filed under: Nicotiana benthamiana
Lineage: Eukaryota; Viridiplantae; Streptophyta; Magnoliopsida; Solanales; Solanaceae
Description: long non-coding RNA (NBEN_LNC007373)
Source: RNAcentral